CUAAAUUCCUUCGUUAUUGUCUUCAAGUAAGAAGCAAAAUAAUGUCUUCUUGGUGCCUUGUUGUCUAUCCGGUUUUCUCUUUGGUGUUCUAUCAAGCUGCAUUCCUACAGUUUGGCAACAUAGAAGGGAAGUGAAACUGCUUAUACUUUCUGCUUAACUGUUAUACUAGGUUCAGAUUAGGUUUCUUCUUUCCAUUUCUUUUUCAGCUCACCCCAGAACAUGUCUUAGGUAAUAAUAAAGUAAUAAUAAUAAUAAUAAUAUAAUGUAUCAAUAAUAAGAGAAGGAACAUCUAAUGAGCUCCUUUCUGCUAGGCACUGUGGUGAGUGCUUUACAUGGAUCAUCUAUAACCCUCAUAAAGUCCUUACAAGAUAAGUACCAGAUUUUGCCCUGCUUUCCAGAUGAGCACACCUCCACUGGGAGGUCUGGUGACUAGUCCACGGUGACAGACCUGGGAACUGUGGGUCUGGAGUGGGAAUGCUGGCAGUCAGUCUGACUCUAAACCCCAUGGCCCUACAUGUGUGCGACACAGUCCCUUAUUGGGACUGACUGACUCCACGUCCCCAUGUUGAGCCCUGUUCCAGGACAGAGCCGUGAGCAAGCCAAGGCUGGCCCCUGUCCUAUGAUGCCUGAGAGUGUCCCUCCCUGUAGGCCUGGGGCCUGGAGAGCAGCUAGGGACAUGUCUACUCCAGAGUGAAACUCUGCCAUGCACUUGCUGUAUCUUCUGCUCCCGUUCACUUUCUGAGCCUCAAUUUCCAUCUUUAAACAUUGCAGGGAUUCAGACUGAAGAUUAAUCAGAAGGAAAGGCCUUUCCCUACUGAUGUCUCAGUCUUCUCAGUAUUCAACAGCCGGGAGUCACUGAAUAACCAGCAACGGACCUUGGGGAUCAGAGAUGAAGAAACUAAAACACAGAAGUCAAGCAAUCUGCUACAGAUCAGUGAACCAGAACUGGAACCAGGAAGUCUGAAACCAGAGUCUGCUGUUUAUCACAGGCAACUUUUAGGCAAAGAAAAUAUGUAAAGACGGAAACUUUAGUUCCUUUACGUUAUUCAGGAACUUGGCAGGAC
Long non-coding RNA from Bubalus bubalis (water buffalo), 1064 nucleotides. RefSeq lists it as uncharacterized. The transcript has 3 exons. The record is from RefSeq and is a predicted model, not a curated record. NCBI's taxonomy places the organism in Eukaryota, Metazoa, Chordata, Mammalia, Artiodactyla, Bovidae.